GGUAACAAGGUUUCCGUUAGGUGAACCUUGAUCGGAAGGAUCAUUA
Molecule: ribosomal RNA, 46 nt
Filed under: Phytophthora capsici
Lineage: Eukaryota; Oomycota; Peronosporomycetes; Peronosporales; Peronosporaceae
Description: partial 18S ribosomal RNA
Source: RNAcentral